CUUGGCGGCCAUAGCGCGGUGGUCCUGACCUGAUCCUAUGCCGAACUCCAGAAGUGAAACGCCGUAGCGCCGAUGGUAGUGUGGGGUCUCCCCAUGAGAGUAGGGAACUGCCAAGC
This 116-nucleotide ribosomal RNA is filed under the name Serratia marcescens. The record is from RNAcentral. Lineage: Bacteria; Pseudomonadati; Pseudomonadota; Gammaproteobacteria; Enterobacterales; Yersiniaceae.